This 63-nucleotide transfer RNA is filed under the name Diekeana admirabilis. RNAcentral's name for it is "Epilachna admirabilis tRNA-Phe". The record is from RNAcentral. Lineage: Eukaryota; Metazoa; Arthropoda; Insecta; Coleoptera; Coccinellidae.
AUUCAAAUAGCUUAUAUAGAGCAUAAUAUUGAAGAUAUUAAGGAAAUUUAAAAUUUUUGGAUA